RNAcentral lists this transfer RNA (58 nucleotides) under Salmo salar (Atlantic salmon). It matches the Rfam family "tRNA", at positions 8 to 63 of the family's 71-position model. From Rfam's summary of the family: Transfer RNA (tRNA) molecules are approximately 80 nucleotides in length. Their secondary structure includes four short double-helical elements and three loops (D, anti-codon, and T loops). The record is from Rfam by way of RNAcentral. Lineage: Eukaryota; Metazoa; Chordata; Actinopteri; Salmoniformes; Salmonidae.
UGGCUCAGGUAGUAGAGCACGGUGCUUGCAACGCCAAGGUUGUGGGUUCAAAUCCCAC